Long non-coding RNA from Lactuca sativa (garden lettuce), 4085 nucleotides. RefSeq lists it as uncharacterized. NCBI's taxonomy places the organism in Eukaryota, Viridiplantae, Streptophyta, Magnoliopsida, Asterales, Asteraceae. The record is from RefSeq and is a predicted model, not a curated record.
GAUUUUUAUUUAGUUCGAAGAUAAAACAUCUUUUUUCAAUGUACUCAUCCACGCCUUUGUAUUUUUAUGACACACAUACACACAGUACAAUCGCACUUCUCUGUCUCUCGCUAGAAAUCAAGAACGAAACCAAUUGGUGGGGGUAAAUAUUAUUCGUUUUUCUAUGUGGAUCUGUUAAACUCACAAACUCACAGAUCUGUUAGAGUCACAAAAUCGGGGACCGGAGGCAAACGUAUCCUACAAAUCGACUUCAAUAUUUACUGAAAGUAUCGAUUUUCAAGAAGUAAAGAAUUGCGUAUCUGUAGUAGGUAGUUGGAGAGGACAGCAUGAAUCAAGAAUACAAAAAGGCAGCUACUAUCGGUAAAGCAACAAUGCAUCAAAGGAAACGACUUAAAAGAAGGAUUAACACAUUCAUAAGUAACGAUUUCGGCCACUUCAUGAGAACCAUCAACCUUAUCAGUAGAAGACUCUUUUUGUCUUGCUGACUUUUUGCAGUUACUACAAACAAGGUAAUAAGGAUCCAGUAUAGACAUAUACUAUUAAAAGAUUUUGAAUAGUUUAAAACUAUUACUUUUGUAUUUAGUACUCAUAUAUGUAUAAAAGUAUAGUAUCCUGGGUAGUUAUGUAAUAUAUAACAUUUUGUAAUAGUCAGUUUGUAUCCAUUCUUAUGUAAUUAAACUAUCAAUGUAAAAUAUUGUUUAUAAACAUGCAUGUAGCAUGUUUUGAAGUAGUUUGAAGUAGCUUGGAAUAAUAAUGUUUCAAUUAUGAAAGUGUGGGUCUCUCAAUCAUGGUAUCAAAGCAGUAGUUUAAGUGAACUAAAUUCCACGGAUUGGUAUUUAGACUUAAACCGCUAGAAGUUCAAUAUAUGAACGGAUUCAUUGUAAUUAUAUGGAUACAAAACUUAGGAAAGACUUAAGUAGAGUAUUAGGUAAUGAUAAACCCUAAUAUUCUAAAAUACAAUGUUACUCCAUGUUACAGAGCACUGACUGAAAAGGUGAGUAGCCAUACACCAUAGGUGGGUAGAGAUCCUCAACCUGAUGAUGUAAAUACUCAAGUAUCUCCUCGUCAGGGGCGACUAUUGGGUAAACUUACUGGUGUUAUUCGGAAAACUAUCGAAGAGCACAAAAAGAAUGAUGAUAAAGGAAAAGAGAAAUUCACCGGAGAAUCUUCAAAAGGAGACACGAGACAUCCUUCAUUCAAAACUUUCAAGAGUAGUGGUGAUACAGAGUUUUCUGUUGUCCUUAAUCCCAUAGUUGUUCUAACUUGGAUUCAAAACACAAAGAAAGUAUUUCAUAUUUCUCAUGUGGAUAAUGAAGACAAUGCUAGUUAUUCUUCUGCUAUGCUCGUCGGAGAAGCCUUGUUCUGAACGAAAGCAACAUAUGAAGCUCUCAACGGGUUUGACCAGGAGAAUUUUAAUGGGUUAUGACCAUUCUAACACCCCUAAGUGUACAUGUAACCUAGAAAACCUUGGAUCUAGGUUUGUCUAAAAUACAUGCAAAAUUUGAUUUCCAUGGUUCAUAAUCCUAUCUAGCAUACGCAGGGAACUUUUAACAUAAAAGAUGGCUAGAAUUACAUAACUUGUAGUUGAUUUGAUUCCUUGAAAACCUUGAGAGCCUAGCACCCCAAGUGUGAUGCCUUAAAUGUUUCACAGAACACCAAGUGCUUUGGAAUAACUUUGAGAGAAUGUAUAACACUUCAAAAUCAGCCUAGCCCUCUUCUUUUCUUAGUGUACCCGAUUUUAUAGGAUAUCAUGCUCUUUAUAUAGUGUGUCACAUCUAGGGUUACACCAUGUAAACCCUAAUGUGACAUGACUCUUCAUUUCCAUGACCCGUGAGUUAGUAACUCCCAUGGAGCAUCCAUGGAGCAUCCUAUGAGUUUUAACCCAACUUGAUAAUCCAUGGAGUAUUAGCCCACUAUAAAAGUUAUGGAUGAUUUACAUAAUCAACCCAUAUAUUUAAUUAGUCAUCUUUUGAUCACUUAAUUAAUUCUAGAUUAAUUCUUGACUAAUACUAAUUAAAUAAUAGUAUUAAUAUAUUAGAACUUAUAAUAUAUUAAUAAACCAUAAGUAUUAUUUCACUCAUUUUAGUUUAUCCAAAUGCAUGAUGCCAUGCAACCCAAAUGGACCAUGCCGGGUCGGGUCAAGUAUAUACCAGAUAUAGUUAUGGACUUAGAAACCUUAUCCAAAAAAUUUAUCCUAGGAAAUGUUCAAAACUCGCUUGCUAGGGAAGUAUUGUCCUUUGGACAUGAGGAGAAGAUUGGAGAAAGAAUUCAUUGAGCUUAAACAAGGAGGAAGACUAUGAUUGAUUAUGAAACUCAAUUCAAUCAAAAAGUACGGUUUGCUUCAAAGUAUAUUCCAAAUGAAGACGAUAAAAUUCAGUUAUUUUUUGAUGGACUACGCGAUGAAAUAUGUGAUUUCGUGGCUAAUCGGGAUGUUCUGUCAUUUGAAAACGCUGUUGAGUAUGCUCGAAAACGAGAGCAUGACUUAGAAAUACGCCGUGCCACUAUUUUUGUUCCGAAGCAUCCACGAAUUGAUCGAACUGCUCCUGUUCCCUCUAUUCCACCAGCUCAAUCUACUCGAACUGAACCUGGUAAACAAGUGCAAACUCAAAAUGCCCCUUGUGGCUGUGGAAGGUCGCAAUCUUUUUCUCUUCAAUCGUCAUCAUGUUGAAAUUGUGGAAAGAAUCAUCCGGGCGAAUGCAGAUUAGAAAAAGGAUCAGUGGUCUGUUAUGGAUGUGGAGAAGUAGGCCACAUGAUGUUUGUUUUUCCAAUGAAGAAUGUUACAUGCUUUGCUUGUGGUGUUGCUGGCCACAGAAAGCAUUUUUGCUCUACUCUUACAAGUCAAAUGACGGGAAGUCAAGCUUCUGUACAACAACUGGCGAGAAGUCAAGCUCUUGUUCAACAAUAAAAGGGUACUCCAACUAAUAAGGAGGAGGCGCCAAAAGUUAAGGGUUGUGCAUUCCAAACGACUUUUGUGCCAAAAUCAAAUGGUACUCCAAAUAAGGAGAAGUCAGAUUCUUUUGUGUCUCAAGAAUUUGUGCAUUCCUUUGAAAUUGCUUGCUAUGCACUCGCGCAACCAUUUCAUGUAGAUACUAUAGGAAGUAUAUUAUUACUUGCUAAUAAAGUCUAUAGGGAUUGUGUCAUAGAAAUUGAAGGCUAUAAUUUUCUUGCUAAUCUGAUUCCUAUCUCCUUGGCCAACCUUGAUAUUAUUCUCGGCAUGGAUUGGUUGUCAAAGAACCACACAGAACUCUUGUGCUUUGAAAAGAUAGUAUGUAUUCCCAUUGAAGGGGAGAAUCCUAUUUAUGUCUACGGUGAAGAAAGACUUAAAAUCGUAACAAUAAUCUCUUACGUAAAAGUUCGUAAAUUCAUAUCGAAGGGGUGUUCCUGAGAAAAUCAUAUUUUCUAGCCGAAACUUUGCCCGAGUAAGCCCAAUUUUCAACUAAAAUCGUUGGUUUUAUCACAGAAAGUCAUAUUUUGAGCCGAAGUGUUGCCCAACUUAUCAUUUAUUCCUUUGGUUAUUUCACGGUGAGUUCAAUAUAUAGGAACAAUUGUAUUUUAUGUCUUAUAUGUGCUAUGUGCUUUUCCGUGUUAUUAUUCCGUGCUAUUAUGUCUUAUAUGUGCUAUGUGCUUUUCCGUGUUAUUAUUCCGUGCUAUUAUGGUAGCAAAGUUGUACCUUUGACCAUGUGAUGAGUGGAAGGACUUAGAUUCACAGUGGUAUUGGUAUGUAGCCUCUGGCCGUGUAGAGCAUGUCUCGUAAGAGAAUGACUUCUACCCCUAUGGCAUUGGCAGAAGGUUAGAUAGGGCUAAAAGCCUGAAAUCAACCAAAAUGUUUAAAUCAGAAAGUGUAUGUCUAUUGUUCCAUUUGGGCCAAAACUUUACUGAUGUAUAUCAAGUAUUGAAGUUGUUAUGUCUCAUUGAUUGUAUAUCUUUGAAUCAAAUCAUUGAUUGAUAUGGAAAGCUUGUCACAUGAUUUACAAAUGCCUUUUUUGUUCCUUGUUCCUCUUUUCUUCUGCCAUAUUGAACUAUAUAUAUGGCAUAACGUUAUAUUGUAUCUAUUAUUGAACUGACUAAGCGUCACCGCUUAUCCC